Molecule: long non-coding RNA, 1263 nt
Organism: Neopsephotus bourkii (Bourke's parrot)
Lineage: Eukaryota; Metazoa; Chordata; Aves; Psittaciformes; Psittacidae
Exons: 7
Source: RefSeq, a predicted model, not a curated record
AAAGCGCCAUUUCAAGCCAUAGCCCUAACAUAAAUGAAUUUGGCAUGUUCAGGAGUGGACCAUCACUUCCAUGAUGAGAUCAAUGGGUACAAUUUAAGCUUUGACUGCUGCCAUCCUCCUAUACUUCCAUGAGAGACACCAUUGACCUGCACCUUUGCCUUGAGUCGCCAAUUUAAAGACAGCUACUGCUUGAUAGUACACACAAAAUGAAUUAUUAGUCUUUAGUUAUGGCCUAAGUGUCUGGAGACUGAGACCUUCACUGGCCCCAUGCAGAAGGCCAAGGACGGACAGAAGCACCAGCAAAAGAGAAGUCCCAAGAGGUUAAGGGAAGGGGCACUGCAGACUAAUAAACUCUGUUACUACAAGGAGAACUUUGUUCAACUUCUGAUGCCAAGAAGGACAGCCUGGACUGGCAGGUACUUAGCGCUUCUGAAAUGCAAGCUCAAGGCAGGCUGUGUUGAAUGUCUUAAGCUUGGGGAAGUCUUUCUGGAAACCUGAUGGAAAAUACUGGCUCAAAUAUUACUGUUCCUCCAGCAAUCAGUGGAACUAUUAGUUAACCUGAGGGCAGUCCCUGGCCCACUGCAAGCACAGCAGGAUCCAUGCAAGGGGCAGGGGAUGAUGAAGAUUUGGACUUGCAUUCCAGAAAAGAUGUCCACAAAGGGACGACUUCCCCCUGAGGAGCUGUCGGGUCACACUGACACCGCUGCCAUCUACCACAGAUGGUUUUCAGCCUGUAUCACGCAUCACUAUGACACAGCACUGCUCACAGCACAUUCUCAAUGCAGCACUGAGCUCGUUCAGUUGCUCCCUGAAUCUCUCCAUGUAACCUGUGGUGUGUCAGCAAGGCUGUAUCAUAUCAGCCCUUCAGAGCUGCCAGUGCUACUAGCGGUUAGACCCUACUUGUGACACGGCCUUCUGUAAGCUUUGUCUGCUAAGAGAACAUCUUGAGCUCUGCUACGCACCCCAUCAGCUCUCUAAGCGAGAGAAUGGAGAUCAGGCACAUCCAUGAGAAGGGUGACUGGUUGGGAUCGCAUCUGAGAAGCACCGCACUCACUGAUGAGCAGUGUAUUCCAACACUGUGAGACAGGGACAUCAGCUGGAACCUGCUGCACACAGAGAGCUUCAGCUUGCCCAGUGGCCACCACUCCUGGAAGAGCAAGGAACAUGAGGAGCACCAGAGGGGACCGUGCAGUGCUGCAGAGAAAGGCACCAGUGCACGUUCUGACAGCAGGGGCUCCUUCCCAUGCUGCUCCCUGUGUUUGG